CAGCAGCCGCGGGAAAACGGAGGGGGCUAGCGUUGUUCGGAAUUACUGGGCGUAAAGCGCACGUAGGCGGAUCAGAAAGUCAGAGGUGAAAUCCCAGGGCUCAACCUUGGAACUGCCUUUGAAACUCCUGGUCUUGAGGACGAGAGAGGUGAGUGGAAUUCCGAGUGUAGAGGUGAAAUUCGUAGAUAUUCGGAGGAACACCAGUGGCGAAGGCGGCUCACUGGCUCGAUACUGACGCUGAGGUGCGAAAGCGUGGGGAGCAAACAGGAUUAGAUACCCGUGUAGUCCCUGUCUCUUAUAA
Molecule: ribosomal RNA, 301 nt
Filed under: uncultured bacterium
Lineage: Bacteria
Description: partial 16S ribosomal RNA
Rfam family: Bacterial small subunit ribosomal RNA
Source: RNAcentral